Molecule: long non-coding RNA, 269 nt
Filed under: Gossypium barbadense (sea-island cotton)
Lineage: Eukaryota; Viridiplantae; Streptophyta; Magnoliopsida; Malvales; Malvaceae
Description: long non-coding RNA (GBAR_LNC006376)
Source: RNAcentral
AUUUUAUAGCAUUAGUUUUCACAUAAGUAAAUAUUUAAGUUUAACUAAGUAAAAUAGACUUUUCAAUGUAAAAUUUGAAAAAAAAAAAUUUAUUUUAAAACAAUUCUAAAUUAAUUAAUUAAUAAAUUUUGCUUAUCCUAUGUAUCAUUAAAAGAAGCUAUCCCUUAAUCAUAAGGUCAAAUGAUUGAUUCCCACUCAUAAGAAUAGUUAUAUUUCUUAACCAACCGUUUAUCUAUUUAGAGAAUAUCACAAUCAACACCUUAAUUUUG